Molecule: ribosomal RNA, 253 nt
Filed under: uncultured bacterium
Lineage: Bacteria
Description: partial 16S ribosomal RNA
Rfam family: Bacterial small subunit ribosomal RNA
Source: RNAcentral
UACAGAGGUCUCAAGCGUUGUUCGGAUUCAUUGGGCGUAAAGGGUGCGUAGGCGGCGCGGUAAGUCGGGUGUGAAAUCUCGGAGCUUAACUCCGAAACUGCAUUCGAUACUGCCGUGCUUGAGGACUGGAGAGGAGACUGGAAUUUACGGUGUAGCGGUGAAAUGCGUAGAUAUCGUAAGGAAGACCAGUGGCGAAGGCGGGUCUCUGGCCCGAUACUGACGCUGAGGCACGAAAGCGUGGGGAGCAAACAGG